This 209-nucleotide long non-coding RNA is filed under the name Vigna radiata. RNAcentral describes it as "long non-coding RNA (VRAD_LNC014268)". Lineage: Eukaryota; Viridiplantae; Streptophyta; Magnoliopsida; Fabales; Fabaceae. The record is from RNAcentral.
UUGAGUGCAAGGCUAUCAAUUCUCAGUAUGAGAGUGGAGAGUAAAUCUCUCUUACUAAUUCUCAACAAAUUAUGUGAAACGUCGCAAGUGUAUUGUAGAGUGAGAUAGCAUAAGAGAGCGUACCUGGCUUGUGAUUCCAUCCCUGUAUAUAUAAAUUAUUAUCAAAUAUAAACAGAAUAUAAUAUAAACAGCUAUACCUGAAUAUCCGG